This is a regulatory RNA element of Clostridiales bacterium CHKCI001, 153 nucleotides long. It matches the Rfam family "M-box riboswitch aptamer (ykoK leader)". Rfam says of the family: M-box riboswitch, also know as ykoK leader is described as a metaloregulatory RNA that sense divalent metals and function as a genetic control element of genes related to divalent metal transport in bacteria. NCBI's taxonomy places the organism in Bacteria, Bacillati, Bacillota, Clostridia, Eubacteriales. The record is from Rfam.
ACUAAAAUUUGGUAGGUGAGGCUACCGCAGGGAUAUGGGUUGCUGCCGCGAAGUAGUGGAGACACUAUAAGAAGGUUAGCAGGAAGUGUCGUUUAAGGCAUUUUCUAAUGCAAUUUCACGCCCUGUGAUGCUAAAGCUUGAACAAAUGUGAGG